UACAGGGGCAGUGGCCCAGGCUGACCACCUCCCUGCCUUCCUCAUCCCCUGGCCUCACCUCCACAAUGGAUGGGUCUUCAGGCUCCAGAAGGCAGGAAUGAAGACUAUGACAAGCAGGAGGAGAAGCAGCAGCAGGCAUUUCUAGAACUCUAACUACAGACAUCUUAGCAAUGGAUACCUCUGGAAGUCGCCCAGGGGUCUCCCCGGUUCCUGUACUGCAGCUCAUACUGAAGCUUGCCCUUCAGCAUGUAGAAGGCAGGGUCUUCGUAAUCUGAGCGCCAGGAGAUAUUAUACUGUCCUGAGAAGGUCACAGUCACGUUGAAAGGGGGAGCCGGCUUGACUUGGUGGAAAAACCCAGGAAAAGAAAAUGGGGUGAGAAUUUGCUGCAGGUGAAAAGGAUUUGGUGAUGGGAGGAAGUCCUGCCUGCCCCCACCCCUGCCUCCAUGCCUGACCCAUCAUGGAUGAGAUGAAGACCAACAACCCUGAGUGACUUUGGGCAAAGUACUCCCAACUCUGGGCUUCAGUUUAUUCAUCUGGGACCUGGGAGAUUUAGACCUGAUCAGGAUUGCAAACUCAGGGGCGGGCAGGUCACAGAGAGGAGUGAAGCAGGUUUAGGGACUGUGACGAAAUAAAACGCUACUUCAAGCAGUUGAUGACUCUUCUUAGCAUGAAUGCUAAUGGUGAGGGCUGCC
RNAcentral lists this long non-coding RNA (692 nucleotides) under Homo sapiens (human). Its description in RNAcentral is "HSALNT0229263". Lineage: Eukaryota; Metazoa; Chordata; Mammalia; Primates; Hominidae. The record is from RNAcentral.